Molecule: ribosomal RNA, 504 nt
Filed under: uncultured bacterium
Lineage: Bacteria
Description: bacterial SSU rRNA
Rfam family: Bacterial small subunit ribosomal RNA
Source: RNAcentral
GACGAACGCUGGCGGCGUGGAUUAGGCAUGCAAGUCGGACGGUAGGGCUUUAUCGUAAGAUAGAGUUUGAGAGUGGCGAAUGGGUGAGUAACACGUAGGAAUCUACCCUUAAGACGGGGACAACCCAGGGAAACUUGGGCUAAUACCGGAUGAGAGUGCGAGAGAUUGCAUUUAAAAGGAUGGCGAAAGUUAUCGCUUAGGGAUGAGCCUGCGGUCUAUUAGUUAGUUGGUGGGGUAAGAGCUCACCAAGGCGAUGAUAGAUAGGCGGCCUUAACGGGUGGUCGCCCACACUGGGAUUGAGAUACGGCCCAGACUCCUACGGGAGGCAGCAGUCGAGAAUAGUCUACAAUGGUCGGAAGACUGAUAGUGCGACGCCGCGUGAACGAUGAAUCCCUUCGGGGUUAAAGUUCUUUUAUAUGUGAGCAGUGCUUUCUUAUAUUUAACAGUAUGGGGAAGAGAUAUUAGCAUAUGAAAUAAGCAACGGCUAACUCCGUGCCAGCACGG